This 84-nucleotide transfer RNA is filed under the name Proteobacteria bacterium CAG:495. It matches the Rfam family "tRNA". From Rfam's summary of the family: Transfer RNA (tRNA) molecules are approximately 80 nucleotides in length. Their secondary structure includes four short double-helical elements and three loops (D, anti-codon, and T loops). Further hydrogen bonds mediate the characteristic L-shaped molecular structure. tRNAs have two regions of fundamental functional importance: the anti-codon, which is responsible for specific mRNA codon recognition, and the 3' end, to which the tRNAs corresponding amino acid is attached (by aminoacyl-tRNA synthetases). tRNAs cope with the degeneracy of the genetic code in two manners: having more than one tRNA (with a specific anti-codon) for a particular amino acid; and 'wobble' base-pairing, i.e. permitting non-standard base-pairing at the 3rd anti-codon position. Lineage: Bacteria; Pseudomonadati; Pseudomonadota. The record is from Rfam by way of RNAcentral.
GCGGCCAUGGCGGAAUUGGUAGACGCGCAACCUUGAGGUGGUUGUGGGAGCACUCCCGUGAAGGUUCAAGUCCUUUUGGCCGCA